This 500-nucleotide ribosomal RNA is filed under the name uncultured bacterium. RNAcentral's name for it is "partial 16S ribosomal RNA". It matches the Rfam family "Bacterial small subunit ribosomal RNA", at positions 28 to 507 of the family's 1533-position model. The record is from RNAcentral.
GACGAACGCUGGCGGCGUGCUUAACACAUGCAAGUCGAACGGGUCUGCCCUGUUUUUUGCGGGGUGGGUCAGUGGCGAACGGGUGAGUAACACGUGAGUAACCUGCCCCUCACUUCUGGAUAACCGCUUGAAAGGGUGGCUAAUACGGGGUGUUCUGGCUGUGCCGCAUGGUGUGGCUGGGAAAGAUUCACUUUUGUGGUGUUUUGGUGGGGGAUGGGCUCGCGGCCUAUCAGCUUGUUGGGGGGGUGAUGGCCUGCCAAGGCUUUGACGGGUAGCCGGCCUGGGAGGGUGGGCGGUCACACUGGGACUGAGAUACGGCCCAGACUCCUGCGGGAGGCAGCAGUGGGGGGUAUUGCACAAUGGGCGGAAGCCUGAUGCAGCGACGUCGCGUGAGGGAUGGAGGCCUUCGGGUUGUGAACCUCUUUCGCCGGUGAAGAAGGUCCUGCUCUUUGUGGUGGGGUUGACGGUAGCCGGGUUAUGAAGCGCCGGCUAACUACGUG